UGGCCUACGGGGGGCAGCAGUGAGGAAUAUUGGUCAAUGGUCGGGAGACUGAACCAGCCAAGCCGCGUGAGGGAGGAAGGUACAGAGUAUCGUAAACCUCUUUUGUCAGGGAACAAAGGCGGGGACGUGUCCCCGGAUGAGUGUACCUGAAGAAAAAGCAUCGGCUAACUCCGUGCCAGCAGCCGCGGUAAUACGUAGGGGGCAAGCGUUAUCCGGAUUUACUGGGUGUAAAGGGAGCGCAGGCGGCGUGGCAAGUCAGAUGUGAAAACCCGGGGCCCAACCCCGGGAGUGCAUUUGAAACUGCC
Molecule: ribosomal RNA, 305 nt
Filed under: uncultured bacterium
Lineage: Bacteria
Description: bacterial SSU rRNA
Rfam family: Bacterial small subunit ribosomal RNA
Source: RNAcentral